Molecule: ribosomal RNA, 1049 nt
Filed under: Vibrio vulnificus
Lineage: Bacteria; Pseudomonadati; Pseudomonadota; Gammaproteobacteria; Vibrionales; Vibrionaceae
Description: bacterial SSU rRNA
Rfam family: Bacterial small subunit ribosomal RNA
Source: RNAcentral
AAGAAGCACCGGCUAACUCCGUGCCAGCAGCCGCGGUAAUACGGAGGGUGCGAGCGUUAAUCGGAAUUACUGGGCGUAAAGCGCAUGCAGGUGGUUUGUUAAGUCAGAUGUGAAAGCCCGGGGCUCAACCUCGGAACUGCAUUUGAAACUGGCAGACUAGAGUACUGUAGAGGGGGGUAGAAUUUCAGGUGUAGCGGUGAAAUGCGUAGAGAUCUGAAGGAAUACCGGUGGCGAAGGCGGCCCCCUGGACAGAUACUGACACUCAGAUGCGAAAGCGUGGGGAGCAAACAGGAUUAGAUACCCUGGUAGUCCACGCUGUAAACGAUGUCUACUUGGAGGUUGUGGCCUUGAGCCGUGGCUUUCGGAGCUAACGCGUUAAGUAGACCGCCUGGGGAGUACGGUCGCAAGAUUAAAACUCAAAUGAAUUGACGGGGGCCCGCACAAGCGGUGGAGCAUGUGGUUUAAUUCGAUGCAACGCGAAGAACCUUACCUACUCUUGACAUCCAGAGAAGCCAGCGGAGACGCAGGUGUGCCUUCGGGAACUCUGAGACAGGUGCUGCAUGGCUGUCGUCAGCUCGUGUUGUGAAAUGUUGGGUUAAGUCCCGCAACGAGCGCAACCCUUAUCCUUGUUUGCCAGCGAGUAAUGUCGGGAACUCCAGGGAGACUGCCGGUGAUAAACCGGAGGAAGGUGGGGACGACGUCAAGUCAUCAUGGCCCUUACGAGUAGGGCUACACACGUGCUACAAUGGCGCAUACAGAGGGCGGCCAACUUGCGAAAGUGAGCGAAUCCCAAAAAGUGCGUCGUAGUCCGGAUUGGAGUCUGCAACUCGACUCCAUGAAGUCGGAAUCGCUAGUAAUCGUGGAUCAGAAUGCCACGGUGAAUACGUUCCCGGGCCUUGUACACACCGCCCGUCACACCAUGGGAGUGGGCUGCAAAAGAAGUGGGUAGUUUAACCUUCGGGAGGACGCUCACCACUUUGUGGUUCAUGACUGGGGUGAAGUCGUAACAAGGUAGCGCUAGGGGAACCUGGCGCUGGAUCACCUCCUUA